RNAcentral lists this long non-coding RNA (277 nucleotides) under Struthio camelus australis. Its description in RNAcentral is "lncRNA (ENSSCUG00000015664.1)". Lineage: Eukaryota; Metazoa; Chordata; Aves; Struthioniformes; Struthionidae. The record is from RNAcentral.
UUUCUCUGGCAUUCAUCACAGCAAACGAACAUGAAGAGCAUCUGUCUAGAGACAGGUUUCAGAGGAUGUUGACAGGUGUUUUCUUCCUCAGCUUAUGAUGUCUUAAGAUCCAAUUACCUGGAAUGAAAGGAUGCCAUUACAUGCCUACUUUUGAGGCAGCAGAAUACUGCUCCAGUUAGCAAUGUGUGAUUGUAGUCUGGAUCAUUAAAAGGUAGGUUUUUUUCCCUCACCCCUCCACCCCCUUCAUGUUUUGAUGUAAAAGUUCACAUAUAGAGUG